RNAcentral lists this non-coding RNA (78 nucleotides) under unclassified sequences. The record is from RNAcentral.
UACAGCACCGCGUGGGCAAGUGGAAACACCCCCAAGGCAUUCGCAUAAUGGAGCCUGAACAGCGCGUAGUGCUGUAUA